This 250-nucleotide non-coding RNA is filed under the name Lysobacter sp. Lineage: Bacteria; Pseudomonadati; Pseudomonadota; Gammaproteobacteria; Lysobacterales; Lysobacteraceae. The record is from RNAcentral. RNAcentral also lists the same sequence under 1 other name.
ACAAUGCGCCGGCUUCGAGGUGACCUGAAGGCGUCGUGCCAACGGGUUGAAACGGGAAGCCGGUGACGCCGCCAAAAGCGGCCAGGCCGGCACUGCCCCCGCAACGGUAAGCGAGUGGACCGGCCGCCUGUCGGCUUGUCCCAUCACGGCUCACCGCCACUGUGCUCUGGCAUGGGAAGGCGCCGUGGUUGGUGUCGUGGUUCUGACACCUCUCGCAAGUCCGGAGACCGGCCACGAAGUCGACUGGUUG